GACGAACGCUGGCGGCGUGCUUAACACAUGCAAGUCGAACGGAAAGGCCCUGCUUUUGUGGGGUGCUCGAGUGGCGAACGGUUGAGUAACACGUGAGUAACCUGCCCUUGACUUUGGGAUAACUUCAGGAAACUGGGGCUAAUACCGGAUAGGAGCUCCUGCUUCAUGGUGGUGGUUGGAAAGUUUCGGCGGUUGGGGAUGGACUCGCGGCUUAUCAGCUUGUUGGUGGGGUAGUGGCUUACCAAGGCUUUGACGGGUAGCCGGCCUGAGAGGGUGACCGGCCACAUUGGGACUGAGAUACGGCCCAGACUCCUACGGGAGGCAGCAGUGGGGAAUAUUGCACAAUGGGCGGAAGCCUGAUGCAGCAAAGCCGCGUGCGGGAUGACGGCCUUCGGGUUGUAAACCGCUUUCGCCUGUGACGAAGCGUGAGUGACGGUAAUGGGUAAAGAAGCACCGGCUAACUACGUG
RNAcentral lists this ribosomal RNA (468 nucleotides) under uncultured bacterium. RNAcentral describes it as "partial 16S ribosomal RNA". It matches the Rfam family "Bacterial small subunit ribosomal RNA", at positions 28 to 507 of the family's 1533-position model. The record is from RNAcentral.